This 206-nucleotide ribosomal RNA is filed under the name uncultured Aminivibrio sp. RNAcentral's name for it is "partial 16S ribosomal RNA". It matches the Rfam family "Bacterial small subunit ribosomal RNA", at positions 568 to 774 of the family's 1533-position model. The record is from RNAcentral. Lineage: Bacteria; Thermotogati; Synergistota; Synergistia; Synergistales; Aminobacteriaceae.
CGCGCAGGCUGUGCUGCAAGUCAGCUGUGAAAUGUCUGGGCUUAACCCGGGCAUGCGGUUGAGACUGCAGUGCUGGAGUGCUGUAGAGGCAAGUGGAAUUCCCAGUGUAGCGGUGAAAUGCGUAGAUAUUGAGAAGAACACCGGUGGCGAAGGCGACUUGCUGGGCAGCAACUGACGCUGAGGCGCGAAAGCCAGGGGAGCAAACG